Molecule: signal recognition particle RNA, 97 nt
Filed under: Gemmatimonadota bacterium
Lineage: Bacteria; Pseudomonadati; Gemmatimonadota
Description: Gemmatimonadetes bacterium signal recognition particle sRNA small type
Rfam family: Bacterial small signal recognition particle RNA
About the family: The signal recognition particle (SRP) is a universally conserved ribonucleoprotein involved in the co-translational targeting of proteins to membranes. Archaeal SRP consists of a 7S RNA and homologues of the eukaryotic SRP19 and SRP54 proteins.
Source: RNAcentral
CCCCAGGUCCGUGGGGCGGGCGCUCAUGAACCCCGUCAGGACCGUGAAGGUAGCAGCGGUAAGUGCGGCAAGCGUCGCCACGGAGCGCCUGGGGCAC